GGUCGUAAAGCUCUGUUAUAUGGGACGAAGGGAUACGGUGCCAAUACCACCGUAUCGUGACGGUACUGUAAGAGAAAGCCAGGGCGAAUUACUUGCCGGCAGCCGCGGUAAUAAGUAGGUGGCUAGCGUUGUCUGGAAUUAUUGGGGGUAAAGGGGGUGCGGGCGGCCGGGCAGGUCGGUCUUAAAAAUGCGGGGCUUAACCCCCUGAUGGGAUGGAAACGGUCUGGCUAGAGUGUGGGAGAGGAAAGCGGAAUUCCUAGUGUAGCGGUGAAAUGAGUAGAUAUUAGGAGGAACACCAGUGGCGAAAGCGGCCUUCUGGACGACAACUGACGGUGAGGCGCGAAAGCCAGGGGAGC
Molecule: ribosomal RNA, 356 nt
Filed under: uncultured Veillonellaceae bacterium
Lineage: Bacteria; Bacillati; Bacillota; Negativicutes; Veillonellales; Veillonellaceae
Description: bacterial SSU rRNA
Rfam family: Bacterial small subunit ribosomal RNA
Source: RNAcentral